CUAUUUUUUUGCUAGCACCACAGACCUUCAAGAUUCAUAAACUAUGAAUGCAAACAACAGAUCAUUAAAAGUAUACUUUGUGCUAGUGAUUUCUUCUCAUCACUUCAACAGAGAAAAAGAACAUUCUAGAAUCCUAACAAUGGUGACAAGGGGUGUGGACACAGCGUUGUUAGGAGGGGGAGACACCAGAGCACCAACUUCUCUCACUUAAACCUUAUGACAACCUUAAGAAGUAGGCAGCAUGAUCCCCUUCUUGGAAAUGCAGAAAGAGAGAAUGGGGGAGAUUGAGAGGCUUGCAGAAUGUGACAUCAUUAGGGAGAACAGUGGUUGAGGUCCAGCAGCUCCUGCAGAUGGGUGGUGGUGGAAGGAGGAGAGAAUGGGCCACAGGCAGGCCAAGGGCAAGCUUAGCAGCACUCAACAUCCUCCAUGAACUCAACAGAAGUCAAGAAUGCAGGCAGCUCAUGAUGAAGACCUGCAGCGGCCCAGGUUUACCAAGCUCAUUCACAAUUGCAGUUGGAGAAUUCGUCUUUGGUCAUUUUCUACUUUGGAAAUACGGUACAACUGGUCAGGGAGAACCAAUGGCAGACAUGUGCUAUAUCCCAACACACCUUGACUCUUGCUCUCACCGGAAGCUCAGCUUAGGGAAAGGAGAUCUUAAUAGGAGACAGAAGACCCGGACGCUGGUUUUGAUUGUGCCCUUCUCCAGCUGUGUGGCCUUGAGCAGGAUAUUUUUUACAUAAAGCAUACUGCAUGGGUGUCCUACUGGUGAUGGAAAAAGAAAUGAAAGCAUCUCUCAAAAGGGUCAAACCAAGGCCAGGUUUUAUUUGGUGUUUGAGAAAACCUGGAUUAUUUGGGUCAGGAGAAAAUUUUGGACUUCCUGCUAAUCACAGGAUUUCAACAGCAAGCGUCUUCAAAUCAUGUGUGACAUCCCCUGGCUGAUAAGAGCCUUCCCACCUCAUCUCAAGGAAGGCAACACCUUUCAUAACUACUAGAAUGACUACACUUGCCUCACUAAAUUGUAGUUGUUGAACCACAAACUUGAUUCCUACUUCUGUAAAAAUAAAUCAGAAUUAAAAUGAUUAAGAUAUGGAAUUGAGCCUCCAUGAGGUUUCAGCAGGCAUCCAUAACCUACAGGGUUAUGACAGUCAUAUUUUCUGAAUCCCAAAUCAGGACAUGGGACCAUGGAAAUAGAGAAGACCAUCAAGCAGAACGUUUGACUUCAGUUCUGUCGUGAAGAUUCUGGGUUUUCAAUCCUUCUAACUACAGUACUAGAUGACAAAGAUGAUUUAUUGCACAUUAAGCACUCAUGAGUGCUCUAUUAACCUCAUUCCUUGGAAUGAUUGUUUUAAAACAACUUUCCAUUUUUGCUAUUAAAAUACCUACUACUUGGGAGACUGAGGCAGGAGAAUCACUUG
RNAcentral lists this long non-coding RNA (1415 nucleotides) under Homo sapiens (human). Its description in RNAcentral is "HSALNT0345480". Lineage: Eukaryota; Metazoa; Chordata; Mammalia; Primates; Hominidae. The record is from RNAcentral.